RNAcentral lists this ribosomal RNA (252 nucleotides) under uncultured bacterium. RNAcentral's name for it is "partial 16S ribosomal RNA". It matches the Rfam family "Bacterial small subunit ribosomal RNA", at positions 524 to 775 of the family's 1533-position model. The record is from RNAcentral.
UACGUAGGUGACCAGCGUUGUCCGGAUUUACUGGGCGUAAAGAGCGCGCAGGCGGUCGUUCAAGUCGAGUGUGAAAGCCCCCGGCUCAACUGGGGAGGGUCACUUGAUACUGAUCGACUCGAAGGCAGGAGAGGGAAGCGGAAUUCCCGGUGUAGUGGUGAAAUGCGUAGAUAUCGGGAGGAACACCAGUGGCGAAGGCGGCUUCCUGGCCUGUUCUUGACGCUGAGGCGCGAAAGCUAGGGGAGCAAACGG